This is a non-coding RNA of Glycine soja, 74 nucleotides long. The record is from Rfam. Lineage: Eukaryota; Viridiplantae; Streptophyta; Magnoliopsida; Fabales; Fabaceae.
GGUCUGGUAAUUCAGUUGGUUAGAGUGCUGGUCUUAUGAGCUGGAGGUUGCGAGUUCAAGCCUCGCCGAGAUGA